RNAcentral lists this long non-coding RNA (295 nucleotides) under Panax ginseng (ginseng). Its description in RNAcentral is "long non-coding RNA (PGIN_LNC001062)". The record is from RNAcentral. Lineage: Eukaryota; Viridiplantae; Streptophyta; Magnoliopsida; Apiales; Araliaceae.
UUAGAAUUGAAAAUCACACCAGAAAUAAGUUUUCUCUCUUUCUCUCUCUCUAUUAUCGAGCGUAUUCUUAUGAGUAUACUUUGAGUGUUGCUAUACGGUGCGAGUUCUGUCAGCACUAUACCGAAAUUCAGUCAGAAAUAAGGUUAUUUUGAGGUAAGGGGUAUUAUUUUCUUCUUAAAUGAUAUUUUUUCUUCAAUAUCAUUGUGCCGAAAUAUUGGUGAACUUUUUAAUCAAAUUUGGAACUUGUUGUGUCGGAGUUACUAUUCACGUAUACGGCACUAUUCACGUAUACGGC